CCUACGGGUGGCAGCAGUAGGGAAUAUUGCUCAAUGGGGGAAACCCUGAAGCAGCAACGCCGCGUGGAGGAUGAAGGAUUUAGGAUUGUAAAGCUCUUUUGUUAGAGAAGAUAAUGACGGUACCUAACGAAUAAGCACCGGCUAACUACGUGCCAGCAGCCGCGGUAAUACGGAGGGUGCAAGCGUUAUCCGGAUUCACUGGGGGUAAAGAGUGCGUAGGCGGGGGCACAAGUCUGAAGUGAAAUCCCGUAGCUUAACGACGGAACUGCAUUGGAAACUGUGCAUCUGGAGUGUAGGAGAGGUAGGUGGAAGUCUUGGUGUAGGGGUGAAAUCCGUAGAUAUCAAGAGGAAUACUCGUUGCGAAGGCGGCCUACUGGAACGUAACUGACGCUGAUGCUCGAAAGCGUGGGGAGCAAACAGGAUUAGAUACCCUUGUAGUC
RNAcentral lists this ribosomal RNA (440 nucleotides) under uncultured bacterium. Its description in RNAcentral is "partial 16S ribosomal RNA". It matches the Rfam family "Bacterial small subunit ribosomal RNA", at positions 338 to 795 of the family's 1533-position model. The record is from RNAcentral.